Molecule: long non-coding RNA, 769 nt
Filed under: Brassica napus (rape)
Lineage: Eukaryota; Viridiplantae; Streptophyta; Magnoliopsida; Brassicales; Brassicaceae
Description: long non-coding RNA (BNAP_LNC017356)
Source: RNAcentral
UAUUUGCAAUCAUUUAUCUAAUGUUUGCCAUAAAAUUUCCUAGUCCCAUUUCCGCUUAUUCCGUAUCAUUUUUUCAGCCAUAGAAGUAGCAUUGGCAAUCUUUUUAUGUGUCAUUGUACAGCAAAAUCUUUACUCUUUUCAGAACAUGCACAUUAUAUCACGGGAAUUCACAAAGAAUCCUCCAUUUCUUUUUCCAAACUCCAAAUUUUCUCUCAAUAAUAAAACACAAAGAUGCAUAAUAUCGUUUAAAUAACUAUUGUUUGUUUCUCGGAGGAGAACCACCUUUGAAUUAUGACAUAAGAUACCUAUCAACCUCAUUUCGUGAAGACCUAUAGGGAGCCAAAAAACUUUGUUUAUUUGGAUAGCCAGAGUCAACGAGAUAGUAUUUAUCGACCGGUAGUAAAGGAAAAAUUAGAAUCAUUGUUUUGCGCAAUUGUGAAAAUUGUUUUAUCAUGACAUGAACAAGGUGCUUUAUUCCAAACAUAUGUGAAUAACAUAUUAAAAUCACAUAUCACCAUUAUAUUAAACGAUAUAAUAUUUUGCCGAAUCCAAUACAUUCUUUGAACUUCAUACUUCAUUUUAACGCCAACAUGAUCUCCAUCAAUAGCUCCAGUAAAACCCACUAAAAUAAGGCCAAUAUCACUUAUCCAUUAGUAGUCGUUAUGGAACUCAUCUUACUUCUUGUGUAGUUGGAGUCUAGACAUAGUCAUAAGCAAGCACUUCAGUCGCUCGAAAGACUUUAAAAAAAGUUCUAAUUCACUCUCUCUUG